This 718-nucleotide ribosomal RNA is filed under the name Microbacterium sp. RNAcentral describes it as "bacterial SSU rRNA". It matches the Rfam family "Bacterial small subunit ribosomal RNA", at positions 95 to 827 of the family's 1533-position model. Lineage: Bacteria; Bacillati; Actinomycetota; Actinomycetes; Micrococcales; Microbacteriaceae. The record is from RNAcentral.
GUGGCGAACGGGUGAGUAACACGUGAGCAACCUGCCCCUGACUCUGGGAUAAGCGCUGGAAACGGCGUCUAAUACUGGAUAUGUGACGUGACCGCAUGGUCUGCGUCUGGAAAGAAUUUCGGUUGGGGAUGGGCUCGCGGCCUAUCAGCUUGUUGGUGAGGUAAUGGCUCACCAAGGCGUCGACGGGUAGCCGGCCUGAGAGGGUGACCGGCCACACUGGGACUGAGACACGGCCCAGACUCCUACGGGAGGCAGCAGUGGGGAAUAUUGCACAAUGGGCGCAAGCCUGAUGCAGCAACGCCGCGUGAGGGACGACGGCCUUCGGGUUGUAAACCUCUUUUAGCAGGGAAGAAGCGAAAGUGACGGUACCUGCAGAAAAAGCGCCGGCUAACUACGUGCCAGCAGCCGCGGUAAUACGUAGGGCGCAAGCGUUAUCCGGAAUUAUUGGGCGUAAAGAGCUCGUAGGCGGUUUGUCGCGUCUGCUGUGAAAUCCCGAGGCUCAACCUCGGGCCUGCAGUGGGUACGGGCAGACUAGAGUGCGGUAGGGGAGAUUGGAAUUCCUGGUGUAGCGGUGGAAUGCGCAGAUAUCAGGAGGAACACCGAUGGCGAAGGCAGAUCUCUGGGCCGUAACUGACGCUGAGGAGCGAAAGGGUGGGGAGCAAACAGGCUUAGAUACCCUGGUAGUCCACCCCGUAAACGUUGGGAACUAGUUGUGGGG